This 329-nucleotide unclassified non-coding RNA is filed under the name uncultured fungus. Its description in RNAcentral is "partial contains small subunit ribosomal RNA, internal transcribed spacer 1, and 5.8S ribosomal RNA". The stretch from base 1 to 73 matches the Rfam family "Eukaryotic small subunit ribosomal RNA", at positions 1759 to 1831 of the family's 1831-position model. The record is from RNAcentral. Lineage: Eukaryota; Fungi.
UCAAACUUGGUCAUUUAGAGGAAGUAAAAGUCGUAACAAGGUUUCCGUAGGUGAACCUGCGGAAGGAUCAUCAUUGAAAUCCAUUUUCUACUCACCCGUGUGAACUGUAUAUGAAUCAGGUAUUUGGCAGGGCUGCGCGCUUGGCGACAGGUUGGGCGAAUAGCCCACCGUUUGCAGACGCUGCACAUCGAGACUCAGUCCCGGUACCCUGCCAAAUGCCCAAUUUUAAAACAAACUCGUGAACACUGCUAUCUAAAUUUCUUUAAAAAUAAUCUUAAACAACUUUCAACAAUGGAUCUCUUGGCUCUCGCAUCGAUGAAGAACGCAGC